CCUACGGGAGGCUGCAGUGAGGACUAUUGGUCAAUGGACGAGAGUCUGAACCAGCCAAGUAGCGUGAAGGAUGACUGCCCUAUGGGUUGUAAACUUCUUUUAUAAAGGAAUAAAACGAGGCACGUGUGCCUUUUUGCAUGUACUUUAUGAAUAAGGAUCGGCUAACUCCGUGCCAGCAGCCGCGGUAAUACGGAGGAUCCGAGCGUUAUCCGGCUUUAUUGGGUUUAAAGGGAGCGUAGAUGGGUUGUUAAGUCAGUUGUGAAAGUUUGCGGCUCAACCGUAAAAUUGCAAGUGAUACUGGCAGUCGUGAGUACAGUUGAGGUAGGCGGAAUUCGUGGUGUAGCGGUGAAAUGCUUAGAUAUCACGAAGAACUCCGAUUGCGAAGGCAGCUUACUAAACUGCCACUGACAUUGAUGCUCGAAAGUGUGGGUAUCAAACAGGAUGAGAUACCCCAGUAGUC
This 460-nucleotide ribosomal RNA is filed under the name uncultured bacterium. Its description in RNAcentral is "partial 16S ribosomal RNA". It matches the Rfam family "Bacterial small subunit ribosomal RNA", at positions 338 to 795 of the family's 1533-position model. The record is from RNAcentral.